This 382-nucleotide ribosomal RNA is filed under the name uncultured bacterium. RNAcentral's name for it is "bacterial SSU rRNA". It matches the Rfam family "Bacterial small subunit ribosomal RNA", at positions 29 to 414 of the family's 1533-position model. The record is from RNAcentral.
AUUGAACGCUGGCGGCAUGCCUUACACAUGCAAGUCGAACGGCAGCACGGGGGCAACCCUGGUGGCGAGUGGCGAACGGGUGAGUAACACAUCGGAACGUGCCCAGUAGUGGGGGAUAGCUCGGCGAAAGCCGGAUUAAUACCGCAUACGACCUACGGGUGAAAGCGGGGAUCGCAAGACCUCGCGCUAUUGGAGCGGCCGAUGUCAGAUUAGGUUGUUGGUGGGGUAAAGGCCUACCAAGCCGACGAUCUGUAGCUGGUCUGAGAGGACGACCAGCCACACUGGGACUGAGACACGGCCAGACUCCUACGGGAGGCAGCAGUGGGGAAUUUUGGACAAUGGGCGCAAGCCUGAUCCAGCCAUGCCGCGUGCGGGAAGAAGG